CUUUAAGGAUUGCUGUCCCGACCACAGCUCACAACCUCUACGCAGGCUCUUUUGCUUGUUUGGCAAUGCAAGAGAGGGGGAGGAAAUGCAGUACAAGGGACCAGACACUACGCAUGCUUCCUUUCCCCCUGUCCCAGCCAGCUAAAGAGAUGAUUGGGAGCUAAAGAGAGGCAGCCAUGGGGGAAAGAGAGCCAGCUUUUGGCAAGAUUCCCCUACAGAUGCGGUGCUCCUUACAGAACACUCCCCAAAGCAUAUGGAACACUUCUGCGCUGUCAAACAGAUGGACCAUCUCCACAAGUGAUCUCCGCAGCUUACUAUAUCCAAACAGAACAUCCCAUGUCUUUAAAUAAGCUGGGAUACCUCUCAGAAGUCAAGGCAUGCUAAAAUGAUGUGCUAGAGGAAACGGAGCACAUGGCCCAAGGAACAUCUGGAAUCGCUACACGGGAGCCGCGCGCUAGAGGGAAGACGACAUUCCUCGAGUUUCCAUCCAAGGAAUCCGCGACACGACCAGGAGAACCAAGACGACCAUCUCCCCAUCUGGCGGCGCUGGAGAAGAACGGGAUGUGGUGGUUCACCGGACGCCGGGGAUGAUGGAGGGCGCCGAAGUCAUCUUCGACGCUCCUUCUAAAAGCGGCAGGCGAAGUCGGGCUCAGGGUGGCUGCCUCGAGAAACGGCUUGUAAUGCGCGCCUCUUCUGUGCCAGCUGGGGGAUUUUUGCGAAGUCGCGUUCGGAGGCCCACUGACUCAUGCAAGAAUCCUGCCGGGGCUUAUUGGGAGGCGGCCGCAGUGGGAAGAAACGCAUCACUGAAGAAAAUGUUGUUUAUUAAAAGAUAAAUGUAUGACUUGCA
Long non-coding RNA from Sphaerodactylus townsendi, 847 nucleotides. RefSeq lists it as uncharacterized. The transcript has 4 exons. The record is from RefSeq and is a predicted model, not a curated record. NCBI's taxonomy places the organism in Eukaryota, Metazoa, Chordata, Lepidosauria, Squamata, Sphaerodactylidae.